RNAcentral lists this ribosomal RNA (1247 nucleotides) under Serratia marcescens. RNAcentral describes it as "bacterial SSU rRNA". It matches the Rfam family "Bacterial small subunit ribosomal RNA", at positions 37 to 1283 of the family's 1533-position model. Lineage: Bacteria; Pseudomonadati; Pseudomonadota; Gammaproteobacteria; Enterobacterales; Yersiniaceae. The record is from RNAcentral.
CCGUGGGGGGCAGCUUACACAUGCAAGUCGAGCGGUAGCACAGGGGAGCUUGCUCCCUGGGUGACGAGCGGCGGACGGGUGAGUAAUGUCUGGGAAACUGCCUGAUGGAGGGGGAUAACUACUGGAAACGGUAGCUAAUACCGCAUAACGUCGCAAGACCAAAGAGGGGGACCUUCGGGCCUCUUGCCAUCAGAUGUGCCCAGAUGGGAUUAGCUAGUAGGUGGGGUAAUGGCUCACCUAGGCGACGAUCCCUAGCUGGUCUGAGAGGAUGACCAGCCACACUGGAACUGAGACACGGUCCAGACUCCUACGGGAGGCAGCAGUGGGGAAUAUUGCACAAUGGGCGCAAGCCUGAUGCAGCCAUGCCGCGUGUGUGAAGAAGGCCUUCGGGUUGUAAAGCACUUUCAGCGAGGAGGAAGGUGGUGAACUUAAUACGUUCAUCAAUUGACGUUACUCGCAGAAGAAGCACCGGCUAACUCCGUGCCAGCAGCCGCGGUAAUACGGAGGGUGCAAGCGUUAAUCGGAAUUACUGGGCGUAAAGCGCACGCAGGCGGUUUGUUAAGUCAGAUGUGAAAUCCCCGGGCUCAACCUGGGAACUGCAUUUGAAACUGGCAAGCUAGAGUCUCGUAGAGGGGGGUAGAAUUCCAGGUGUAGCGGUGAAAUGCGUAGAGAUCUGGAGGAAUACCGGUGGCGAAGGCGGCCCCCUGGACGAAGACUGACGCUCAGGUGCGAAAGCGUGGGGAGCAAACAGGAUUAGAUACCCUGGUAGUCCACGCUGUAAACGAUGUCGAUUUGGAGGUUGUGCCCUUGAGGCGUGGCUUCCGGAGCUAACGCGUUAAAUCGACCGCCUGGGGGAGUACGGCCGCAAGGUUAAAACUCAAAUGAAUUGACGGGGGCCCGCACAAGCGGUGGAGCAUGUGGUUUAAUUCGAUGCAACGCGAAGAACCUUACCUACUCUUGACAUCCAGAGAACUUUCCAGAGAUGGAUUGGUGCCCUUCGGGAACUCUGAGACAGUGCUGCAUGGCUGUCGUCAGCUCGUGUUGUGAAAUGUUGGGUUAAGUCCCGCACGAGCGCAACCCUUAUCCUUUGUUGCCAGCGGUCGCCGGGCACUCAAGGAGACUGCCAGUGAUAACUGAGAAAGGUGGGGAUGACGUCAGUCAUCAUGUCCUUACGAGUAGCUUACCACGUGCUACAUUGCCCGGUAUACAGAGAAAGGCGACCCUCGCCGAGAAGCCAACCGGAAGCU